RNAcentral lists this ribosomal RNA (1414 nucleotides) under Microbacterium aurantiacum. RNAcentral's name for it is "partial 16S ribosomal RNA". It matches the Rfam family "Bacterial small subunit ribosomal RNA". Lineage: Bacteria; Bacillati; Actinomycetota; Actinomycetes; Micrococcales; Microbacteriaceae. The record is from RNAcentral.
AGUCGAACGGUGAAGCCAAGCUUGCUUGGUGGAUCAGUGGCGAACGGGUGAGUAACACGUGAGCAACCUGCCCUGAACUCUGGGAUAAGCGCUGGAAACGGCGUCUAAUACUGGAUAUGAGCUGCGGAGGCAUCUUCGUGGUUGGAAAGAUUUUUCGGUUUGGGAUGGGCUCGCGGCCUAUCAGCUUGUUGGUGAGGUAAUGGCUCACCAAGGCGUCGACGGGUAGCCGGCCUGAGAGGGUGACCGGCCACACUGGGACUGAGACACGGCCCAGACUCCUACGGGAGGCAGCAGUGGGGAAUAUUGCACAAUGGGCGGAAGCCUGAUGCAGCAACGCCGCGUGAGGGAUGACGGCCUUCGGGUUGUAAACCUCUUUUAGCAGGGAAGAAGCGUGAGUGACGGUACCUGCAGAAAAAGCGCCGGCUAACUACGUGCCAGCAGCCGCGGUAAUACGUAGGGCGCAAGCGUUAUCCGGAAUUAUUGGGCGUAAAGAGCUCGUAGGCGGUUUGUCGCGUCUGCUGUGAAAACCCGAGGCUCAACCUCGGGCCUGCAGUGGGUACGGGCAGACUAGAGUGCGGUAGGGGAGAUUGGAAUUCCUGGUGUAGCGGUGGAAUGCGCAGAUAUCAGGAGGAACACCGAUGGCGAAGGCAGAUCUCUGGGCCGUAACUGACGCUGAGGAGCGAAAAGGGUGGGGAGCAAACAGGCUUAGAUACCCUGGUAGUCCACCCCGUAAACGUUGGGAACUAGUUGUGGGGUCCAUUCCACGGAUUCCGUGACGCAGCUAACGCAUUAAGUUCCCCGCCUGGGGAGUACGGCCGCAAGGCUAAAACUCAAAGGAAUUGACGGGGACCCGCACAAGCGGCGGAGCAUGCGGAUUAAUUCGAUGCAACGCGAAGAACCUUACCAAGGCUUGACAUACACGAGAACGCUGCAGAAAUGUAGAACUCUUUGGACACUCGUGAACAGGUGGUGCAUGGUUGUCGUCAGCUCGUGUCGUGAGAUGUUGGGUUAAGUCCCGCAACGAGCGCAACCCUCGUUCUAUGUUGCCAGCACGUAAUGGUGGGAACUCAUGGGAUACUGCCGGGGUCAACUCGGAGGAAGGUGGGGAUGACGUCAAAUCAUCAUGCCCCUUAUGUCUUGGGCUUCACGCAUGCUACAAUGGCCGGUACAAAGGGCUGCAAUACCGCGAGGUGGAGCGAAUCCCAAAAAGCCGGUCCCAGUUCGGAUUGAGGUCUGCAACUCGACCUCAUGAAGUCGGAGUCGCUAGUAAUCGCAGAUCAGCAACGCUGCGGUGAAUACGUUCCCGGGUCUUGUACACACCGCCCGUCAAGUCAUGAAAGUCGGUAACACCUGAAGCCGGUGGCCCAACCCUUGUGGAGGGAGCCGUCGAAGGUGGGAUCGGUAAUUAGGACUA